RNAcentral lists this ribosomal RNA (472 nucleotides) under uncultured bacterium. RNAcentral's name for it is "bacterial SSU rRNA". It matches the Rfam family "Bacterial small subunit ribosomal RNA", at positions 335 to 783 of the family's 1533-position model. The record is from RNAcentral.
ACUCCUACGGGAGGCAGCAGUGGGGAAUAUUGGCACAAUAGGGGGAAGCCCAUCGAUGCAGCCAUGCCGCGCUGUGUGAAGAAGGCCAAUUCGGGCUUUGGUUAAAGACACUUUUCAGUAGGGAGGAAGGUAGUGUAGUUAACACCUGCAUCUUAUUUGACUGUACCUACAGAAGAAGCACCGGCUAACUCCGUGCCAGCAGCCGCGGUAAUACGGAGGGUGCGAGCGUUAAUCGGAAUUACUGGGCGUAAAGCGCAUGCAGGCGGCCUGUUAAGUCAGAUGUGAAAGCCCGGGGCUUAACCUCGGAAUUGCAUUUGAAACUGGCAGGCUAGAGUCUUGUAGAGGGGGGUAGAAUUUCAGGUGUAGCGGUGAAAUGCGUAGAGAUCUGAAGGAAUACCAGUGGCGAAGGCGGCCCCCCUGGACAAAGACUGACGCUCAGAUGCGAAAGCGUGGGGAGCAAACAGGAUUAGAU